GCACCAGGAAGUAGCUGGGACCUCUUGGCCGAGCUCAACGACAGCCAGUUCCUCUCCCACCAAGCCCGGCCGGGUACCUCCCUGCAGACGCUCUGCAGCUAAAUAGCCUGCUGCAGGCCGGGCACUGUCCCCCGCGCAGUGUACCCUCAAGCGCCGGCCUCGCGUCUUGCUACUCUGGCCGGCAGCUGCUCCUCAGGCGGGCCCCGCAGGGCCGUCCCGUCGCGUGCACAGCUUUGAACUGAAGUCACCGUGGAGUUCCGCCGCCCCGAAACUUCCACCGCGAGCGAGAAAUAUGGGAUGUAUAAAAUCAAAAAGGAAAGACAAUCUGCAUGACGAUGGAGUAGAUUUGAAGACUCAACCAGUACGUAACACUGACCGAACUAUUUAUGUGAGAGAUCCAACGUCCAAUAAGCAGCAAAGGCCAGUUCCAGAAUCUCAACUUUUACCAGGACAGAGGUUUCAAACAAAAG
This is a long non-coding RNA of Onychomys torridus (southern grasshopper mouse), 470 nucleotides long. RefSeq lists it as uncharacterized. The record is from RefSeq and is a predicted model, not a curated record. NCBI's taxonomy places the organism in Eukaryota, Metazoa, Chordata, Mammalia, Rodentia, Cricetidae. The transcript is spliced from 3 exons.